UACGGAGGGUGCAAGCGUUAUCCGGAUUCACUGGGUUUAAAGGGUGCGUAGGUGGGCAAGUAAGUCAGUGGUGAAAUCUCCGGGCUUAACCCGGAAACUGCCAUUGAUACUAUUUGUCUUGAAUACUGUGGAGGUCAGCGGAAUAUGUCAUGUAGCGGUGAAAUGCUUAGAGAUGACAUAGAACACCAAUUGCGAAGGCAGCUGGCUACACAUAUAUUGACACUGAGGCACGAAAGCGUGGGGAUCAAACAGG
Molecule: ribosomal RNA, 253 nt
Filed under: uncultured bacterium
Lineage: Bacteria
Description: partial 16S ribosomal RNA
Rfam family: Bacterial small subunit ribosomal RNA
Source: RNAcentral